AUUCCAGCUCCAAUAGCGUAUAUUAAAGUUGUUGCAGUUAAAAAGCUCGUAGUUGGAUUUCUGCCAGGGUGCCAAUGUCCGCCGAAGUGCGUGCGCAGCGGCGCCCUCGCAUCCUUCUGUUAACGCCUCUCGGCAUUUACUUGCCGGUGGUGGGCUCAGAUAAUUUACCUUGAGAAAAUUAGAGUGUUUCAGGCAGGCUAGGCCGGAAUACAUUAGCAUGGAAUAAUGGAAUAGGACUACGGUCUCGUUGUUGGUUUGAGGGACUGGAGUAAUGAUUAAUAGGGAUAGUUGGGGGUAUUCGUAUACAAUUGUCAGAGGUGAAAUUCUUGGAUUUAUGGAAGACGAACUACUGCGAAAGCAUUUACCAAGGAUGUUUUCAUCG
RNAcentral lists this ribosomal RNA (382 nucleotides) under Pseudotontonia sp. RNAcentral describes it as "partial small subunit ribosomal RNA". It matches the Rfam family "Eukaryotic small subunit ribosomal RNA", at positions 582 to 975 of the family's 1831-position model. Lineage: Eukaryota; Ciliophora; Spirotrichea; Tontoniidae. The record is from RNAcentral.